RNAcentral lists this ribosomal RNA (928 nucleotides) under Salmonella enterica subsp. enterica serovar Typhimurium. Its description in RNAcentral is "partial 23S ribosomal RNA". It matches the Rfam family "Bacterial large subunit ribosomal RNA", at positions 574 to 1415 of the family's 2925-position model. Lineage: Bacteria; Pseudomonadati; Pseudomonadota; Gammaproteobacteria; Enterobacterales; Enterobacteriaceae. The record is from RNAcentral.
UGGGAGCACAGGUUUACCUGUGUGACUGCGUACCUUUUGUAUAAUGGGUCAGCGACUUAUAUUCUGUAGCAAGGUUAACCGUAUAGGGGAGCCGUAGGGAAACCGAGUCUUAACCGGGCGUUAAGUUGCAGGGUAUAGACCCGAAACCCGGUGAUCUAGCCAUGGGCAGGUUGAAGGUUGGGUAACACUAACUGGAGGACCGAACCGACUAAUGUUGAAAAAUUAGCGGAUGACCUGUGGCUGGGGGUGAAAGGCCAAUCAAACCGGGAGAUAGCUGGUUCUCCCCGAAAGCUAUUUAGGUAGCGCCUCGUGAAUUCAUCUCCGGGGGUAGAGCACUGUUUCGGCUAGGGGGCCAUCCCGGCUUACCAACCCGAUGCAAACUGCGAAUACCGGAGAAUGUUAUCACGGGAGACACACGGCGGGUGCUAACGUCCGUCGUGAAGAGGGAAACAACCCAGACCGCCAGCUAAGGUCCCAAAGUCAUGGUUAAGUGGGAAACGAUGUGGGAAGGCCCAGACAGCCAGGAUGUUGGCUUAGAAGCAGCCAUCAUUUAAAGAAAGCGUAAUAGCUCACUGGUCGAGUCGGCCUGCGCGGAAGAUGUAACGGGGCUAAACCAUGCACCGAAGCUGCGGCAGCGAACGUAUCACCCAAGACAACUUUACGGAGUUGACGAUUGACGGAGCGAAGCGACGUCAAAGCGUUCAUUAAAGUCGAGUUGGCUUAGGGAUACGUUCGUUGGGUAGGGGAGCGUUCUGUAAGCCUGUGAAGGUGUGUCGUGAGGCAUGCUGGAGGUAUCAGAAGUGCGAAUGCUGACAUAAGUAACGAUAAAGCGGGUGAAAAGCCCGCUCGCCGGAAGACCAAGGGUUCCUGUCCAACGUUAAUCGGGGCAGGGUGAGUCGACCCCUAAGGCGAGGCCGAAAGGCGUAGU